This is a long non-coding RNA of Elaeis guineensis (African oil palm), 784 nucleotides long. RefSeq lists it as uncharacterized. NCBI's taxonomy places the organism in Eukaryota, Viridiplantae, Streptophyta, Magnoliopsida, Arecales, Arecaceae. The record is from RefSeq and is a predicted model, not a curated record.
GGCGCUCUUCGAUCCUCCCAUCUCUGCUUUACUUCUCCGCCUCAGACUUUUCUCCAAUUCCUUUUGGUCCAUCGUUUAUCGAUAAUUCUCUCUCUCUCUGUUCUACCUAUGGAGCGUGAUGAUAUGCUGAUGUCGCCCCAGUCUUACGAUCCGUUCACCUGGUGAAUGGACGAUGCCUAUCAUUUAGGCAAAGAUUACUCCAACGCCCCAAAUACCAGUUCAAUGCUCAUUUUGCGUACUUGGACCAACCUUUACGGUGGGGCCAAUCCAAAUCUUUUUGAAAAGAAGAAUUAGCGGGCAUGGUUAAUUUAUAAAUGCUUUCAUGUGUUAAAAUAAUUACCAUAUCGAUGGUCCUAUUGGCGGCACGCUAAAGGAUUCAGGCAUUCAACUUUUGAAUUUAUCGAGAUGAAGGUGGCUGUCGUGGUGCACAGUCGGGUUCAGUUGUAAUGCGGCGGACGUGUGACCGAAUAGGUGGCAUGCGAGCAUCGUCCAAACUCGACGACUUAUUCGGCGGCGGUGGAGCCACGUCCCUACGAUCGUCCCAACCAUACACAACAGUGUUGAGUGCAGCCGGCACGGUAGCACACGGCACCAUGUAGACGGUGUGAGUUAUGGGGCCAAUCACGAUGAUAGCUAUGCUGGAGUUUGGACCAUCCAGACGGCAGCAGCACCGAUCAUAGGACGGCACUGCUUGAGAGGAAGAUCGAAUUUGUAAUUGAAAAAAAAAUUAUUUAUAUUAAUUUGUAUGGACUUAGAUUAUCUUUUGAAUGGGUUCUAAUUAUUC